UAACGGCCGCGGUAUCCUAACCGUGCAAAGGUAGCAUAAUCACUUGCUCAUUAAUUGUGGGCUAGAAUGAAAGGACUAACGAAAUAUAAUCUGUCUCUAUAAAUAAGAUAAAAAUUAAUCUCCAAAUGAAGAAUUUUGGAUUUUAUUGAAGGACAAGAAGACCCUAUAGAGCUUUAAAGAUUCAGUUGGGGCGACUAGGGAAUAUGAUAUAUUUAUCUAAUUAAUGACCCUAGAUCAUAAGAAUAAGCUACCUUAGGGAUAACAGGCUAAUCCUACUAAAGAGUCCUUAUCUAAAGUAGGGAUUGGCACCUCGAUGUUGGCUUAGGGAAUCUAUCUAACGCAAAAGUUAUAUAAAGAUGGUUUGUUCA
RNAcentral lists this ribosomal RNA (368 nucleotides) under Dendrobaena vladeasa. RNAcentral's name for it is "partial 16S ribosomal RNA". It matches the Rfam family "Bacterial large subunit ribosomal RNA", at positions 1925 to 2583 of the family's 2925-position model. The record is from RNAcentral. Lineage: Eukaryota; Metazoa; Annelida; Clitellata; Crassiclitellata; Lumbricidae.